GGGUUUGUAGCUUAGCUGGUUAAAGCAUACGCUUGAUAAGCGUAAGAUCGUGAGUUCGAUCCUCACUGAGCCUACUA
RNAcentral lists this transfer RNA (77 nucleotides) under uncultured bacterium. RNAcentral describes it as "tRNA-Ile". It matches the Rfam family "tRNA". Rfam says of the family: Transfer RNA (tRNA) molecules are approximately 80 nucleotides in length. Their secondary structure includes four short double-helical elements and three loops (D, anti-codon, and T loops). Further hydrogen bonds mediate the characteristic L-shaped molecular structure. tRNAs have two regions of fundamental functional importance: the anti-codon, which is responsible for specific mRNA codon recognition, and the 3' end, to which the tRNAs corresponding amino acid is attached (by aminoacyl-tRNA synthetases). tRNAs cope with the degeneracy of the genetic code in two manners: having more than one tRNA (with a specific anti-codon) for a particular amino acid; and 'wobble' base-pairing, i.e. permitting non-standard base-pairing at the 3rd anti-codon position. The record is from RNAcentral.